This 253-nucleotide ribosomal RNA is filed under the name uncultured bacterium. RNAcentral's name for it is "partial 16S ribosomal RNA". It matches the Rfam family "Bacterial small subunit ribosomal RNA", at positions 524 to 776 of the family's 1533-position model. The record is from RNAcentral.
UACGUAGGGGGCUAGCGUUGUUCGGAAUUACUGGGCGUAAAGGGCGCGUAGGCGGUCCUGAUCGUCGGAUGUGAAAGGCCUGGGCUCAACCUGGGAAUGGCAUCCGAUACGGCGGGACUGGAGUGUGGGAGAGGUUGGUGGAAUUCCUGGUGUAGCGGUGAAAUGCGCAGAUAUCAGGAAGAACACCAAUGGCGAAAGCAGCUUUCUGGGACGGUACUGACGCUGAGACGCGAAAGCGUGGGGAGCGAACAGG